This 66-nucleotide transfer RNA is filed under the name Lepidonotus sp. YZ-2018. Its description in RNAcentral is "tRNA-Phe". It matches the Rfam family "tRNA". From Rfam's summary of the family: Transfer RNA (tRNA) molecules are approximately 80 nucleotides in length. Their secondary structure includes four short double-helical elements and three loops (D, anti-codon, and T loops). Lineage: Eukaryota; Metazoa; Annelida; Polychaeta; Phyllodocida; Polynoidae. The record is from RNAcentral.
GCCUUUAUAGCUUAAUUUUAAAGCACAGCUCUGAAAAGGCUAAGAUGGUUAUUUAACCUAAUGGCA